This is a non-coding RNA of Megalopta genalis, 1137 nucleotides long. The record is from RefSeq and is a predicted model, not a curated record. NCBI's taxonomy places the organism in Eukaryota, Metazoa, Arthropoda, Insecta, Hymenoptera, Halictidae.
UUUUGUCGGAAUUUAAAUCUGACAUUCUAGGUUUUGGUAUCUUUGAUCCAACGCAAGAAAUUGCGUUACACGCUAUUCGCGUCAAAUGUUUCAUACUAUACAAGUACAUAUUGAUAUUGUUUUACGAUAAAUCGUUACGAUUAAUCAUCGUAUCAUUUCAAGUCCUUGUUUCAUCGAAGCUUACGUUACGGAUUAGCAAAUUGAGCAUUGAAUUUCUUUUUAAGGAAAAUCUAUUACCGUAGACGGAAUUGAUGCGAAACUGCAUAAAGAGGUUACAUACAUAUAAAUAUAUAUAUAUAUAUGUACACACACGUGCCCACGUAUGUAUAAUGUAUAGUACCUAGAUGGCCUUUUACAUCAAGUUACCUGCACAUGUGCUCUAGUACAUAUUAAUUUUAUACCUUAAAGAGUACACGUUCGGCUAUGAUAUUGUGAUUUGAACAAUUAUUUUAUACCAAAUGGAGGUUACAGGAUAUAGUAAUCAAUAGAAAAUUAUCUGACUGUUACGUCACUAAUAUAUAUCGUAAAAAUCGAUUGGUAGGAAAAUCCAUGAAUUUCUGUGAUAACAAAUUGUAUAGAAUUUUCCUCGUAUCGAUGUAGUUUUUUCUUUAAAUCUAUUUAAUAUUUUAUGCUUCUUCUGAGAUGGUAAAAAUUAAUUUUUAACUGUAAUAUUUUACAGUCUAAUCUGGCGCAUUGCCAAUCAUGAUCAAUCCCUAAUACAGCUAUCGAUAAUUUCAUGCAUAUUGUUUGCAACAUAAUUGUGGUAAUAAUUUCCGUGUUUAACAUCAGAAAAUAUAUAUUUCGAACCUUCUCUCGAAGAUUUUCUUGGCAUGACCCUUGAACUUCCUGGAAGAAGUCCUUUACAGUUAUUGGCACCCAUUCUGUUCUAUCACACUUAUCACUGGAGAAUAUUGUUCUACAAACUGUAUCGAGUUAUCUACAAAUAAGCUAUCUCGAUUUUCUUCAAUUUACAAGAAUCGCAACUUGUUGCAGAGCACGCAACCAUAUCGAGCACCAACUGUCAAGAGGGCGUUGAAAUCGAUUUUUCCAUUCAUACGUACAUGUAUGUAUAAGUUCUAUCUACUAUGUACUUUUCUAUCUUAAUCUGUUCAAUAGAAAAUUGAUUGUAAUGUGAAA